CCGACCUUAGCUCCGUUGGUAAAGCGGAGGACUCUGCUUGGAAUUACCAAGCAGUAUAAUCCUUAGGUCACUGGUUCGAUUCCUGUAGGUCGGA
RNAcentral lists this transfer RNA (94 nucleotides) under Nicotiana sylvestris (wood tobacco). It matches the Rfam family "tRNA". Rfam says of the family: Transfer RNA (tRNA) molecules are approximately 80 nucleotides in length. Their secondary structure includes four short double-helical elements and three loops (D, anti-codon, and T loops). Further hydrogen bonds mediate the characteristic L-shaped molecular structure. tRNAs have two regions of fundamental functional importance: the anti-codon, which is responsible for specific mRNA codon recognition, and the 3' end, to which the tRNAs corresponding amino acid is attached (by aminoacyl-tRNA synthetases). tRNAs cope with the degeneracy of the genetic code in two manners: having more than one tRNA (with a specific anti-codon) for a particular amino acid; and 'wobble' base-pairing, i.e. permitting non-standard base-pairing at the 3rd anti-codon position. The record is from Rfam by way of RNAcentral. RNAcentral also lists the same sequence under 1 other name. Lineage: Eukaryota; Viridiplantae; Streptophyta; Magnoliopsida; Solanales; Solanaceae.